Molecule: long non-coding RNA, 2924 nt
Organism: Neofelis nebulosa (Clouded leopard)
Lineage: Eukaryota; Metazoa; Chordata; Mammalia; Carnivora; Felidae
Exons: 5
Source: RefSeq, a predicted model, not a curated record
CUUACGCACUUGGGUCCGGAAGGCCACAUGUGUCUUUGUGGACUGUCACACGUUACCGGGAAGCACAAAUCUGGCUGCGCCACGUUACCGCCAGCUCUGAGGAUCCCGUUACCGAAGGGCUUCCAUUCUCGACUGGCGUACAAUCCUCCGCGUGAACCUUCCUCAGCUCGCCGGAAAGAAGGAACGGGUGUUUCAGAAGUGACGCUUCUCCAUAUUUGCGGGGAUUUCGACAUCAUCAUAAUCAUCUAGAGGCUCGAUGUAGCUCGGGAUGGAGAGGGUCUUAUUUCUAACCUUAUUGACCAGCGAGUAUGUGGCCGGCGGCUGGCUCGGGGUGUCCUGUGGGACUAGAGCACACGAAAAGGUCCUUGCAGGCCAAGCUGCUGUGUGUUCUCGCAUAUAUAUAAAAAGACGGAGACAGUGCACGUGGGGGAGGGACAGAGAAUCCCAAGCAGGCUCCGUGCUGCCAGUGCAAAGCCGUACGCGGGGCUUGAACUCACGAAACCGUGAGAUCAUGAGCUGAGCCGAAACCAGGAGUCGGACGCUCAACUGGCUGAACCACGCAGGCGCCCCCAUAUGUAUUUUUGACCCAGUGACUCAGCAUGAUUUUCAUGGGCUUGGGUGGUCUGGCUACUUCCUGGUGGACCAGCUCCCCAUUUGAUGGGGGACACUGUUGUACAGAGAGGACACCGUCUCGGGAUCAGCCGAGUGGGUGAAUGGCAGACGGCAGUCAGACGCCCUGGCUCCCACGUCCCCCUGCCUGAGCCCGCAAAGCAGAAGUGCAGACGGCACGCUGACCCGAGCCAGUCCCCGAAUGAGCACGGUCAUGGGAGGCCCUCAUUCUCACGAGGAAGUGAUACGAAGCUUAUUUCCUUUUUGGCACGUCCCUCACAGUGACUUAGUGUUUUCCAGGACAUUCCAUGAUUGCUCGGGCACGAAUCUCUGCUCAGAAGGGACAGCGGGGUUUGCAAAAGGUAGAAUGAGUGAAGAGGGAACACGUAGCAAAAGCCCCAAGGUGGCCGCGGGAAGGAAGACGAAGCGGCAGCUAGACCUCAGACCCUCAGAUGGGGUCGCCGCGGCCUCUGCCGCGACUCUGUCUUUCCCAAGAGGACCUGGGAAGAAGACCGCCGUCAUUCCCUGCACAGCCCUGCAGUGAGACCCAAGUUCACAUCCAGGCUCCAGCAGUCACACUCGCUGUGUCGCCUUGGGUGAGACACUGAACUUCUGUGUGUCUCAGUGUCCCCGUCUGUCAAAGGGGGAUAAUAAAUGCGCCCGCCUCGUAGUGCCGUGGAGAGGCCGACAGGAGAUCGUGCCUGUGAAGUGCGUCACACGGGCCCGGACACAUGGGGGCUGCCCCAUACAUGUAAGCUAUUAUGUGUCCAUUCGGUCAAGACCUGAAUUGUCUCCUAACCUCCAGGCACCGUUCUUAGUGGCCGGUAAACCGUGGUGAGGAAGACGAGAGGCCCCUGUUUCCCGGAGUUUCUGUUCCAGGGCAGGAGAGAGAUCUUAAACACACGAGCAGCAGAUGGACGAGGAUGACAAGGUCUCACUCCUUGUGGAGCCCGGACCUUUCGGCGACUGGCGAGCAGGGUUCUGAGGCUGUCCCAGACGCCGUGGCAGAAAACUGCUUCGUUGGGGAAUGAUUGACCCAGAAAAGGCUGUGCGUAUCCGGUGUCUACAACACGUGUACCACUCGAUGUGAUUGGAACUGAGACAGCCUCUGACAUUCUCUGGACUCGUGCUGUCUUCUGAGUCCCAAAGAACUGAAAGCAGAACCCUCGUUCAAGAGCUUCCAGCACGGGCAAGACCUCAGCCUUCAGCCGUGCCCUGUUCGGCGUAAUUACAACCGCGGUAGGAAAAUGCGUCUCAGAAAAGUCACCCUCACCGUGUGCUACCCGGUGCCCUACGCGCCCCUCUCAUUCAAUCCCCUGCACUGCGGCUUGUGGUUACCACCCCGUUUUACAGAUAAGACCAUGGGAGCUCAGAGAUCGAAACUACUGGCCCAGGGGCACGGAGCCAGUGAGCGGGAAAACCAGAAACCAAACCCAGGUCUUUGGGACUCCAGGACCCUAACUCGCGACCCCCAAACGGGGGCUCUGGGAAAUGUGUGAAAGCACAGAUGCCAGUCCCAGGCCCCUUCUCUGCCCCCAGUUCUGAUCUGUAGGUCCAGUGUCGGACUCGGGAUCAGCAUUUUUAACAAGCGCUCCAGUGGUGGGGGGCGGGGGGGCUCAGCCUCCGGGUGGGACGGACAUCCAUCGGGCCAGUUGGCAGAGCCCCCCCAGCUGGGGCAGGUGAGGGAGCCCCACAGUCAGAGGCGGUAGCAGCACUGGUGGGAGAGGGAAAGGCACCAAAAAAGCCCCUGAACCAAAUGCCCGAGAUGCUUCUCGUAAUGCCCCAAAUUCCAUCAUCGACAAGUCACUUCUCUGCCAAGUUCCCCCGCUCUCCCCACUUCCUCUCCAUUCAAACUCAUUUGCCUGGGUGUGCCAGACUCUGAGGAAGAGAAACUGAUUUUUACUAGGGUGUGAAUGACUUCCUUGGGUCCUCAGGGCACUGGGUUCCUUUCUUGAAUUCCCUCAGGCAUUGGCCAGAGCAGGGGCAUCCUAGGAUCUUGUCCAGAGUCCUCAGAGGAUAUAACCGAAUGCGAUUUAGGAACAAAGACCGUCUUAUCCAGGCUUCCUCCUCCUGCUAGUCACCGCCCCCCCCCCCAUCUCAGUGCUCUUUGUUCCCUCUUCCCCUUUCUCCUUAGUCAUCCUGCCCUCAGGACAGACUCUGAAUCUCAUUCACACUGCGACCUCCGUAACUGAUAACAGCUUAAGUGUGUGUGGGGGUGGGGGAGGUGCUCCACCGUCAGGGUGAUGAAAACCCAGAAGGCAAGAGAAGCUGGGACACUGAGGCCGAGGAAAGGUUGCCUCGACCGGGGCUGGGUG